RNAcentral lists this ribosomal RNA (539 nucleotides) under uncultured Fidelibacterota bacterium. RNAcentral describes it as "bacterial SSU rRNA". It matches the Rfam family "Bacterial small subunit ribosomal RNA", at positions 259 to 790 of the family's 1533-position model. Lineage: Bacteria; Pseudomonadati; Fidelibacterota. The record is from RNAcentral.
AACGGCUCACCAAGGCGACGAUCAGUAGCUGGUCUGAGAGGAUGAUCAGCCACAUUGGGACUGAGAUACGGCCCAGACUCCUACGGGAGGCAGCAGUGGGGAAUUUUGCGCAAUGGGGGAAACCCUGACGCAGCAACGCCGCGUGGUCGAUGAAGCUUCUAGGAGUGUAAAGACCUGUCGUUGGGGAAGAACGGGACAGUGAGUAACUGCUCUGUCCGUGACUGUACCCUUCAAGAAAGCUCCGGCUAACUCCGUGCCAGCAGCCGCGGUAAUACGGGGGGAGCAAGCGUUAUCCGGAAUCACUGGGCGUAAAGGGCGCGUAGGCGGAUGGUUAAGUCAAAUCUGAAAGUUAACAGCUUAACUGUUAAAGUGGGUUUGAUACUGGUUAUCUUGAGUGCGAGAGAGGAAAGCGGAAUUCCUGGUGUAGCGGUGAAAUGCGUAGAUAUCAGGAGGAACACCGGUGGCGAAGGCGGCUUUCUGGCUCGUAACUGACGCUGAGGCGCGAAAGCGUGGGUAGCAAACAGGAUUAGAUACCCUGG